AGUCUUAUUCUCUUAUUAUGAUAUAAAAUUGCAAAUUUUGAGGGGUAUAAUUAUACUAAGGCUU
This 64-nucleotide transfer RNA is filed under the name Coenonympha phryne. RNAcentral describes it as "Triphysa phryne tRNA-Cys". The record is from RNAcentral. Lineage: Eukaryota; Metazoa; Arthropoda; Insecta; Lepidoptera; Nymphalidae.